GUAGGUGGCAAGCGUUGUCCGGAAUUAUUGGGCGUAAAGCGCGCGCAGGCGGUUCUUUAAGUCUGAUGUGAAAGCCCACGGCUCAACCGUGGAGGGUCAUUGGAAACUGGAGAACUUGAGUACGGAAGAGGAAAGCGGAAUUCCACGUGUAGCGGUGAAAUGCGUAGAGAUGUGGAGGAACACCAGUGGCGAAGGCGGCUUUCUGGUCUGUAACUGACGCUGAGGCGCGAAAGCGUGGGGAGCAAACAGGAUUAGAUACCCUGGUAGUCCACGCCGUAAACGAUGAGUGCUAAGUGUUAGGGGGUUUCCCGCCCCCCUUAGUGCUGCAGCUAACGCAUUAAGCACUCCGCCUGGGGGAGUACGGCCGCAAGGCUG
Molecule: ribosomal RNA, 375 nt
Filed under: uncultured organism
Description: partial 16S ribosomal RNA
Rfam family: Bacterial small subunit ribosomal RNA
Source: RNAcentral